CAUACGUCACAGGAUGGCAAACAAGAUUUUAUGUCUAUGCUUCUACUAUGUAUCAGUGGAUGGCACUUACCCUUGUUAUAACAUGCUAUAUAUUCUUGUUAAAACAUGCCUAUAUAAUGAUCCAUCAGUGAAGGGAUUCUAUGAUUAUGUAUGUUUUAACUUUGUGGUUCUUUUCUUGCACUUUUGUGCUAUAGCUGUAAUUUCAGGCCUAAACAUGAAUUCAUGCAUUUGGCUUGCAGAAUAUGCCUCAUUCCAGAGAAGCUGAUGCUGUUGGAAGCUAGAAUUACAACCUGCAGCCGAAGAUUGGCAUAGAUGAAACGUGUUUGGUGGUACUUUGUUGGAUCUGAUCAAUCUUGGUCCUUUGGAUAACAUGGUGAAGUCUUAAGAGGAGGCACAGGGUCUCUGAGGGGUAUGUAGCAUUUGGAUUGAAGACUUCUGUGAGCCUGUGAUCUCAUCUUGUACUCAUAGGAUCUCAAAAGGAUGUCAUUGCAGCUGUUUGGAAAAUUGAUCGUGGAUGUAUAAGAUGUUUGCUGUAAGCCGACGCAUCAUGGGAGACGUGGUGUGGUGUAUCUAUCGACAUCAUUGUCCAUGGCUUGGAUUUGGCAUUGACAUCAGCCUGCCAUCCUGGAAAUGCAGUGGAAGAGUCACAGUUCAUACUUAGCACUAACCAACA
Long non-coding RNA from Musa acuminata AAA Group (dessert banana), 673 nucleotides. RefSeq lists it as uncharacterized. Lineage: Eukaryota; Viridiplantae; Streptophyta; Magnoliopsida; Zingiberales; Musaceae. The record is from RefSeq and is a predicted model, not a curated record. The transcript is spliced from 3 exons.